GACGAACGCUGGCGGCGUGCUUAACACAUGCAAGUCGAGCGGAAAGGCCCUUUCGGGGGUACUCGAGCGGCGAACGGGUGAGUAACACGUGAGUAAUCUGCCCUUGGCUUUGGGAUAACUACCGGAAACGGUGGCUAAUACCGGAUAUGACCAUGCUCGGCAUCGGGUGUGGUGGAAAGUUUUUUCGGCCAGGGAUGUGCUCGCGGCCUAUCAGCUUGUUGGUGGGGUAAUGGCCUACCAAGGCUUCGACGGGUAGCCGGCCUGAGAGGGUGACCGGCCACACUGGGACUGAGACACGGCCCAGACUCCUACGGGAGGCAGCAGUGGGGAAUAUUGGACAAUGGGCGGAAGCCUGAUCCAGCAACGCCGCGUGAGGGAUGACGGCCUCGGUGUAACCGUACUUCUAGUACGACGAAGACGCCGACGUGAUGGUGGUGACGGUAGGUACGAGAAGAAGAC
Molecule: ribosomal RNA, 459 nt
Filed under: uncultured bacterium
Lineage: Bacteria
Description: bacterial SSU rRNA
Rfam family: Bacterial small subunit ribosomal RNA
Source: RNAcentral